AUCCAUGACUCCAUGGGAGCUGCCGCCCGUGGCUGACUCCCUUCCUAGGCAUGGAAGAGCAGUUCCUUGCUAAUUGGCAAAACUUUUAUCCCGCCUGUGGGUAUUAGUCGUUGACUGUGGCAAGUAACAGGC
This 132-nucleotide small nucleolar RNA is filed under the name Chlamydotis macqueenii (Macqueen's bustard). RNAcentral's name for it is "Chlamydotis undulata macqueenii Small nucleolar RNA SNORA24". It matches the Rfam family "Small nucleolar RNA SNORA24". From Rfam's summary of the family: ACA24 is a member of the H/ACA class of snoRNA that guide the sites of modification of uridines to pseudouridines. Lineage: Eukaryota; Metazoa; Chordata; Aves; Otidiformes; Otididae. The record is from Rfam by way of RNAcentral.